Mustela lutreola (European mink) is the source of this 879-nucleotide long non-coding RNA. RefSeq lists it as uncharacterized. NCBI's taxonomy places the organism in Eukaryota, Metazoa, Chordata, Mammalia, Carnivora, Mustelidae. The record is from RefSeq and is a predicted model, not a curated record. The transcript is spliced from 4 exons.
UGGGUUGUUUUUGCCUUUGCAGAGCCCGGUCGGUAGGCUUUGCUGGAUUUUCUCCUUCUUCUCAAAGGCUCCAACCCAGCCGAAGCGCUCAGCCCCCGCCUGGCCUCCAACCGCCCGGCCCCUCCCUUGUGCGGAGUUUCCAGCCGCCCAGCGGUCUCCACGGCAACGCAGAGGCAAGCUUUAGCGCGGGUCCGCUCUGGGAGGGGAGUGUCCGGCGUGGGGAGCCGGCUCGGCCGCACCUCUUCUGGGCUCCGUUUCCCUACUUUAGGCCUGAUCCCCUACUCAGCUUCCCGGAAAAGCUACCCGUUUGAGGAAUAGUUGGUUUAUGGAUCCAAGUCCAAAAACUCGAGACUUCCAAGUGGAAUGACCUCGCAGAUGAGGUACAUGCAGCACAAGUAGGCAGAGCGGCAGGCAGAGGGAGAGGGAGAAGCAGGAUCCUGCUGAGCAGGGAGCCUGAUGCAGGGCUCGAUCCCAGGAUUUCGGGUUCCUGACCAGACCUUAAGGCAGACGCCGGCCUCCAGAACUGGCCACAUAGUCAGGACACCCCUGCCUCCCACCUCUUCAACGCAAAAUCUGGGGCUUUUUGAGGGAUCCAGCAGUCGCCAGAAAGCAGAGGGAGCCCAGCAGCCCAAGCGCAGAGGAGAAAUACCCGGACCUCUCUCUCCUCCCGCCCUCUGAUUCCUGCCGCUGCCUCCCAUUGGCUGAUCCAGACCGGAAGUCAUCUGGCAAAGGCGCUUCGAAAGGCCUUCCCGGCCACUUCGAACUUGCCCAGAGGCUUCAGAGGGACCCGUAUGAUCUCUUCAAACUCCUCAUGGUUGCAGUCUUCCGGUAUUCCCAGGAUCAUCAGGGACUUGUAACUGUCCACCUCGAGCGCCUUGC